GAUGAACGCUGGCGGCGUGCUUAACACAUGCAAGUCGAACGGAAAGGCCCAAGCUUGCUUGGGGACUCGAGUGGCGAACGGGUGAGUAACACGUGGGUGAUCUGCCCUGCACUUCGGGAUAAGCCUGGGAAACUGGGUCUAAUACCGGAUAGGACGAUGGUUUGGAUGCCAUUGUGGAAAGUUUUUUCGGUGUGGGGUGAGCUCGCGGCCUAUCAGCUGGUUUGUGGGGUAAUGGCCUACCAAGGCGUCGACGGGUAGCCGGCCUGAGAGGGUGUACGGCCACAUUGGGUCUGAGAUACGGCCCAGCCUCCUACGGGCGGCAGCAGUGGGGAAUAUUGCACAAUGGGCGCGAGACUGCCGGAGGGAGGAAGCGUGGGGGAUGACGGACUUCGGGUUGUACACGAAUUUCGUUAGGGACGAAGCGUUUUUGUGCCGGUACCUGGAGAAGAAGCACCGGCUAACUACGU
RNAcentral lists this ribosomal RNA (467 nucleotides) under uncultured bacterium. RNAcentral's name for it is "partial 16S ribosomal RNA". It matches the Rfam family "Bacterial small subunit ribosomal RNA", at positions 28 to 506 of the family's 1533-position model. The record is from RNAcentral.